This 123-nucleotide small RNA is filed under the name Marmota monax (woodchuck). Lineage: Eukaryota; Metazoa; Chordata; Mammalia; Rodentia; Sciuridae. The record is from RNAcentral.
GCUAGGUUUGGUGGCGCAUGCCUGUAAUCCCAGCAGCUCUGGAGGCUGAGGCAGGAGGAUCACAAGUUCAAAGUCAGCCUCAGCAAAAGCGAGGCACUAAGCAACAGUGAGACCCUGUCCCUA